Oncorhynchus mykiss (rainbow trout) is the source of this 5026-nucleotide long non-coding RNA. Lineage: Eukaryota; Metazoa; Chordata; Actinopteri; Salmoniformes; Salmonidae. The record is from Ensembl.
UCAUGUGGAAUAUAUAUCUAAACGUAGUUCAGUAGUAGUCAUGUGGAAUAUAUAUAAAUGUAGUUUAGUAGCAGUCAUGUGGAAUAUAUAUCUAAAUGUAGUUUAGUAGUAGUCCUGUGGAAUAUAUAUAAUCGUAGUUUAGUAGCAGUCAUGUGGAAUAUAUAUAAUCGUAGUUUAGUAGUAGUCAUGUGGAAUAUAUAUAAAUGUAGUUUAGUAGUAGUCCUGUGGAAUAUAUAUAAUCGUAGUUUAGUAGCAGUCAUGUGGAAUAUAUAUAAAUGUAGUUUAGUAGCAGUCAUGUGGAAUAUAUAUAAAUGUAGUUUAGUAGCAGUCAUGUGGAAUAUAUAUAAAUGUAGUUUAGUAGCAGUCAUGUGGAAUAUAUAUAAAUGUAGUUUAGUAGCAGUCAUGUGGAAUAUAUAUAAAUGUAGUUUAGUAGCAGUCAUGUGGAAUAUAUAUAAUCGUAGUUUAGUAGUAGUCAUGUGGAAUAUAUAUAAAUGUAGUUUAGUAGUAGUCCUGUGGAAUAUAUAUAAAUGUAGUUUAGUAGCAGUCAUGUGGAAUAUAUAUAAUCGUAGUUUAGUAGUAGUCAUGUGGAAUAUAUAUAAAUGUAGUUUAGUAGUAGUCAUGUGGAAUGUAUAUAAUCGUAGUUUAGUAGCAGUCAUGUGGAAUAUAUAUAAUCGUAGUUUAGUAGUAGUCAUGUGGAAUAUAUAUAAAUGUAGUUUAGUAGCAGUCAUGUGGAAUAUAUAUAAAUGUAGUUUAGUAGUAGUCCUGUGGAAUAUAUAUAAAUGUAGUUUAGUAGUAGUCCUGUGGAAUAUAUAUAAAUGUAGUUUAGUAGCAGUCAUGUGGAAUAUAUAUAAAUGUAGUUUAGUAGCAGUCAUGUGGAAUAUAUAUAAUCGUAGUUUAGUAGUAGUCAUGUGGAAUAUAUAUAAAUGUAGUUUAGUAGUAGUCCUGUGGAAUAUAUAUAAUCGUAGUUUAGUAGCAGUCAUGUGGAAUAUAUAUAAUCGUAGUUUAGUAGUAGUCAUGUGGAAUAUAUAUAAAUGUAGUUUAGUAGUAGUCCUGUGGAAUAUAUAUAAAUGUAGUUUAGUAGCAGUCAUGUGGAAUAUAUAUAAUCGUAGUUUAGUAGUAGUCAUGUGGAAUAUAUAUAAAUGUAGUUUAGUAGUAGUCCUGUGGAAUAUAUAUAAUCGUAGUUUAGUAGUAGUCAUGUGGAAUAUAUAUAAAUGUAGUUUAGUAGUAGUCAUGUGGAAUAUAUAUAAAUGUAGUUUAGUAGCAGUCAUGUGGAAUAUAUAUAAUCGUAGUUUAGUAGUAGUCAUGUGGAAUAUAUAUAAAUGUAGUUUAGUAGUAGUCCUGUGGAAUAUAUAUAAUCGUAGUUUAGUAGCAGUCAUGUGGAAUAUAUAUAAUCGUAGUUUAGUAGUAGUCAUGUGGAAUAUAUAUAAAUGUAGUUUAGUAGUAGUCCUGUGGAAUAUAUAUAAAUGUAGUUUAGUAGCAGUCAUGUGGAAUAUAUAUAAUCGUAGUUUAGUAGUAGUCAUGUGGAAUAUAUAUAAAUGUAGUUUAGUAGUAGUCCUGUGGAAUAUAUAUAAUCGUAGUUUAGUAGCAGUCAUGUGGAAUAUAUAUAAUCGUAGUUUAGUAGUAGUCAUGUGGAAUAUAUAUAAAUGUAGUUUAGUAGUAGUCCUGUGGAAUAUAUAUAAAUGUAGUUUAGUAGUAGUCCUGUGGAAUAUAUAUAAAUGUAGUUUAGUAGCAGUCAUGUGGAAUAUAUAUAAUCGUAGUUUAGUAGUAGUCAUGUGGAAUAUAUACAAACGUAGUUCAGUAGUAGUCAUGUGGAAUAUAUACAAAUGUAGUUUAGUAGUAGUCCUGUGGAAUAUAUAUAAACGUAGUUUAGUAGCAGUCAUGUGGAAUAUAUAUAAUCGUAGUUUAGUAGUAGUCAUGUGGAAUAUAUACAGUGCCUUGCGACAGUAUUCGGCCCCCUUGAACUUUGCGACCUUUUGCCACAUUUCAGGCUUCAAACAAAGAUAUAAAACAAUUUUUUUGUGAAGAAUCAACAACAAGUGGGACACAAUCAUGAAGUGGAACGACAUUUAUUGGAUAUUUAAAAACUUUUAACAAAUCAAAAACUGAAAAAUUGGGCGUGCAAAAUUAUUCCAUGUGGAAUAUAUAUGCUGAAACUUAUUCAGAACAAUAACAGGUUGCUCAAUAGAAAAACAAGAUACAAUCGUUUUCUGUUUAAAAGAGCAAAAAGUAUUUCUACUUUGCAUUUGAAAAUAAUUAGAAAUAAGCAUAUUUCCUACUAUUUAUUUCAUUUACAAGAUCAUUGCAAAAUAAAUUCCUUACCUUUUCUGACUCGCAGAACAAGACCUACAACAAGUUCGGAUAGGCUACCAUUCACCCCAUCCCUAUUUAAUUAGACACAUUUCACAGUAGUAAAUAAGCUAUUUCAAGCAGUUUGUUGCUCUCCGCGUUUUAACCCAACGCGCAGUUUAGCGGUAGAACAGAAGGUUUUCUAGGCUACUUCUGAACACUGAAAUUUUGUUUAUAAAAUCUUAAAAACACCACAUUGCAGAAUACAUUUCUCAUUCCUUUUCCGGCCAUGAGUUCAUAUUCCCUAAAUAGCCAUACAACAAAUGAUGGUGCGCAUCCCAUUUAAUUGGGCCUAUCACAUGCUGAACAAAAUGUGUUGGUUGUUUCAUGAGCUGAAAUGAAAAAUUAAAUUAAAUGGAAAACCCCCAGAAAUGAGCAUUUCUCCUGGGCCAAGAUAAUCCAUCCACCUGACAGGUGCCACACCUGCCACACAUAUCAAGAAGCUGAUUAAACAGCAUGAUCAUUACACAGGUGCACCUUGUGCUGGGGACAAAAGGCCACUUUAAAAUGAGGUUUGUCACACAACAAAAUGUCUCAAUUGGCAAGAGAAUUUGCCAGAGAAUUUAAUGUUAAUUUCUCUACCCUAGCUGCCUCCAAUGUCGUUUUAGAGAAUUUGAAUCUAACCGGCCUCACAAACGCAGACCACGUGUAACCAGACCUCCAUAUGCCUCUUCACCUGCGGGGAGGGGGAAGGGGUGCUGAGUAUUUAUGUCUGUAAUAAAGCCCUUUCGUGGUGAAUAACUCAUUCUGAUUGGCUGGGCCUGGCGGGUGGAGCCCUCCCCAGUCAUGUGAAAUCCAUAAAUGAAGGCCUAAUGAAUUUAUUUUGACCGAUUUCCCUAUAUGAAUUGUAACUCAGUAAAAUCUUUGAAGAUGUUGCGUUUAUACUUUAGUUCAGUAUAAUUUCAGGUGUUUGCUCCAUACAGAGGACAGGGUGGUUCAUAACAUACAGUACAAUUUAACAGGUGAGCAGACAGUUGAUAUUUUGAAGUGUUUAGGCUCCACUGUAAGUAGGACCUACUGUAGUACAUUAUUUCCCUAGUACAUCAAAUGGGCAGUGCAGCAUAUUUAUGUUUGGGGAAAGAGUGAAUGCAAAACAUUAGGGAGCCGUCAAAAUGGACACAAUUGUUACCAGGAGGAAAAUGGGGAGGGUCGUGCUUUUUCAAUUUCAAUCAGGGGGGAGGGUUUAGUUUGGGGUCUUUUUUAUUCCAGGGGAGGGUCAUGUAAUUGAUUCAAAGUCCUUUUGCUCGGGGUUUGAGAAUUAGUUGCUUAUUUUAGUAUUUUGUGUGUGCCCGAUGAGGCCCUUCAUCCCUGAUUGUCUGCUGGGCAGCAAUAUCAAGUGGUUCUAGUGUGGUCUCAAUCAAAUUACACAGCACAUACUAUAGAGCAGUGGUUCCACCCUCGUAUGUACAGUACCAGUGGUUCCAACCCCCGUAUGUACAGUACCAGUGGUUCCCCCCGUAUGUACAGUACCAGUGGUUCCAACCCCCGUAUGUACAGUACCAGUGGUUCCCCCCAUAUGUACAGUACCAGUGGUUCCCCCCCGUAUGUACAGUACCAGUGGUUCCAACCCCCGUAUGUACAGUACCAGUGGUUCCCCCCGUAUGUACAGAACCAGUGGUUCCCCCCGUAUGUACAGUACCAGUGGUUCCUCCCCGUAUGUACAGUACCAGUGGUUCCAACCCCCGUAUGUACAGUACCAGUGGUUCCCCCCGUAUGUACAGAACCAGUGGUUCCCCCCGUAUGUACAGUACCAGUGGUUCCUCCCGUAUGUACAGUACCAGUGGUUCCCCCCGUAUGUACAGUACCAGUGGUUCCUCCCGUAUGUACAGUACCAGUGGUUCCCCCCGUAUGUACAGUACCAGUGGUUCCCCCCCGUAUGUACAGUACCAGUGGUUCCCCCCCGUAUGUACAGUACCAGUGGUUCCCCCCGUAUGUACAGUACCAGUGGUUCCCCCCGUAUGUACAGUACAAGUGGUUCCCCCCGUAUGUACAGUACCAGUGGUUCCUACCCCCAUAUGUACAGUACCAGUGGUUCCAACCCCCGUAUGUACAGUACCAGUGGUUCCCCCCCGUAUGUACAGUACCAGUGGUUCCCCCCCGUAUGUACAGUACCAGUGGUUCCCCCGUAUGUACAGUACCAGUGGUUCCCCCCCGUAUGUACAGUACCAGUGGUUCCCCCCGUAUGUACAGUACCAGUGGUUCCCCCCCGUAUGUACAGUACCAGUGGUUCCCCCCCGUAUGUACAGUACCAGUGGUUCCCCCCCGUAUGUACAGUACCAGUGGUUCCCCCCCGUAUGUACAGUACCAGUGGUUCCCCCCCGUAUGUACAGUACCAGUGGUUCCUCCCGUAUGUACAGUACCAGUGGUUCCCCCCGUAUGUACAGUACCAGUGGUUCCCCCCGUAUGUACAGUACCAGUGGUUCCCCCCCGUAUGUACAGUACCAGUGGUUCCCCCCCGUAUGUACAGUACCAGUGGUUCCUCCCGUAUGUACAGUACCAGUGGUUCCCCCCCGUAUGUACAGUACCAGUGGUUCCCCCCGUAUGUACAGUACCAGUGGUUCCCCCCGUAUGUACAGUACCAGUGGUUCCCCCCGUAUGUACAGUACCAGUGGUUCCAACCCCCGUAUGUACAGUACCAGUGGUUCCCCCCGUAUGUACAGUACCAGUGGUUCCCCCGUAU